This is a long non-coding RNA of Benincasa hispida (wax gourd), 1763 nucleotides long. RefSeq lists it as uncharacterized. NCBI's taxonomy places the organism in Eukaryota, Viridiplantae, Streptophyta, Magnoliopsida, Cucurbitales, Cucurbitaceae. The record is from RefSeq and is a predicted model, not a curated record.
AAAUAAAUAAAUAAAUAAAUAAAUAAAUUAUAUUUAUAUAUAUUAAAUCUCGUUCGGCGUCUGCUUUAAUCUAAUCUCUUUCUUCCUCAUUCAAGAGCAGCCGAGCGUCUUCCUCCCUCUCGAUCUUAGCCUCGCCGACCACAGUCGGUUCAACUCGACGCGCCACUACCAGUCGUCCGCCGUCGGUGUCCCUUUGCCUUGCAGGUCGCGCCGCCAAGCCGGCCCACGUUUCCGAUCAAAAAGCUGCAGCCGUCGGCGUAGACGAGCGACCCCGGGUCUGAGCGUGUGCGAGUCACGCGUCCGUCUGCAGCCGGUGCCAUUUGUCAUCAGGUGUGGGUUCUAUUCGACGUUUUCCGACUACCAGCGCCGCCGGUCAGCCCUUUCAUCUCCUUCUGUUAGUUUCUCUCUCUAAGUCAGAAACCCACGCGGAACAGUUUUGUUCAAGAUGCCAUGAGUAGGUCCUCCGUCCAGCAACUUCCACCGCCAUUCGUUCUGGACGCUGGGAUAUCUCGUCUGUCGCCACGUAGCGCUGUCUGCCGCAUCUUAUCUUGGCUGUGGGAGGAUUCUGCAAGAUUUUAGAGUUUUGUUGAGUUAUUCUUGAAAACCCAUUUAAGUAAUUGGUGUAUUAAGCGCGUUUGAGCCGCUGCCCAUCAAAAGUAAUAGACGUUUUGGACGUUUCGAAUGGAUUUUAUUGAAGACUUGUAAGCAGUUUUGGACUAAGCCUCGUUUUUGUUGCUUGUCAAGAUUUUACCAAGGUUGAAUUACUAAUGUGUUGGACUUAAUAUUGAGGAUAUUUUAGGCAGUUUCUCUUCCAAUGCUCAUCUUUGUUGUAGUAGAAACAUUUUCACUUUAACCUUGCCUUUGCGGUCAAUAGGUGCCUUCCUCUUCCCCUUACUCUUUUUCAUCUGAACACUUUUUUCCUUGGAGGAAGAAGAAGAGUUAGACUUUAUCUUAGAGGACGAUCCUCUUUUAUUUGCAGAGCUUUCUGUCCCUUAGUUUUAAAGAGGGACCGAUAAGUCUGUAGCUCAUUGAGAAUAGUGGUUAAGUUAUAUUCUAUCUUGUUCAUCAUCGCAUUUGUACGAAACUGUAAGAAGCUCUUCGGAAGAGACUCUAAAAUAAAACAGACUUGACUUUUAUCGUCUAUGAAAACUCCAUUUACUUCUGCUAUAUUGAAAUGGAUCAUCAUGUCCAAGAUAUGUUCUCUAACAGAGGCCCCUUCUUUCAUACGACAGUUAUAAACGUAUUUGAUGGCAUCAUGUCUAAGGGAGAAGGAUGGUUUUCCAAACAUCCCCUGUAGAGAUUCCAUAAUCUCUUUUGUGGUAUGCAUGAGAUCGUGUUUCUUUGCCGAAACAUCAUAUAUAUGCUGGCAAGAAUAUAGGCUCGGGCUUUUUCAUUUGCCCUUGUCCAUUUGUCAUAUGCUUCCCGAACAGUUUGAUUUAUGUUGGAGCCGGGGUUAGGAGGACAUUCCUCAGUUAAAAUGAAUCUCAGAUCAUCUAUUACUAGUAUUGUAUUCAGGUUUGAUUUCCAUGUAGAGUAUUUGUCCCCGAUAAGUUUCUCAGAAGCCAUGUAGAGUAAUUGUCCCCAUUACUCUACAUGUAGAGUAUUGUAUUCCAUGUAGAGUAAUUGUUCCCAUUAACCUCAGAUCAUCUAUUACCAGUAUUGUAUUCAGGUUUGAUUUCCAUGUAGAAUAAUUGUCCCCAUCAAGUUUCUCAGAAGUCAGUAACUGUAUUAAUGAGCUAGUCAUCUCUGAAAGUAUAACCAAA